UACGGGGGGUGCAAGCGUUAUCCGGAUUCACUGGGUUUAAAGGGUGCGUAGGUGGGUUGAUAAGUCAGUGGUGAAAUCCCCGAGCUUAACUUGGGAACUGCCAUUGAUACUAUUGAUCUUGAAUACCGUGGAGGUCAGCGGAAUAUGUCAUGUAGCGGUGAAAUGCUUAGAUAUGACAUAGAACACCAAUUGCGAAGGCAGCUGGCUACGCGAAUAUUGACACUGAUGCACGAAAGCGUGGGGAUCAAACAGG
Molecule: ribosomal RNA, 253 nt
Filed under: uncultured bacterium
Lineage: Bacteria
Description: partial 16S ribosomal RNA
Rfam family: Bacterial small subunit ribosomal RNA
Source: RNAcentral